UCCAGACUCCUACGGGAGGCAGCAGUAGGGAAUUUUGCGCAAUGGGGGAAACCCUGACGCAGCAACACCGCGUGAAUGUUAAGCCCUUCGGGGUGUAAAGUUCUGUCAAUAGGGACGAAUUUUGACUGUACCUAUAAAGGAAGCACCGGCUAACUCCGUGCCAGCAGCCGCGGUAAUACGGAGGAUGCGAGCGUUAUCCGGAUUUAUUGGGUUUAAAGGGUGCGUAGGCGGGCUGUUAAGUCAGCGGUCAAAUGUCGGGGCUCAACCCCGGCCUGCCGUUGAAACUGGCGGCCUCGAGUGGGCGAGAAGUAUGCGGAAUGCGUGGUGUAGCGGUGAAAUGCAUAGAUAUCACGCAGAACUCCGAUUGCGAAGGCAGCAUACCGGCGCCCUACUGACGCUGAGGCACGAAAGCGUGGGUAUCGAACAGGAUUAGAUACCCGAGUAA
RNAcentral lists this ribosomal RNA (445 nucleotides) under uncultured bacterium. RNAcentral describes it as "bacterial SSU rRNA". It matches the Rfam family "Bacterial small subunit ribosomal RNA", at positions 330 to 793 of the family's 1533-position model. The record is from RNAcentral.